This 531-nucleotide ribosomal RNA is filed under the name Saturnispora siamensis. Its description in RNAcentral is "eukaryotic LSU rRNA". It matches the Rfam family "Eukaryotic large subunit ribosomal RNA", at positions 62 to 648 of the family's 3401-position model. The record is from RNAcentral. Lineage: Eukaryota; Fungi; Ascomycota; Pichiomycetes; Pichiales; Pichiaceae.
AAACCAACCGGGAUUGCCCCAGUAGCGGCGAGUGAAGCGGCAAAAGCUCUAUUUUGAAAGCGCCUUGGCGCGUUGUAGAUUGGCGGGGUCUUGUUGGCGGCGCGCAGUUAAGUCCCCUGGAACGGGGUGCCGGAGAGGGUGAGAGCCCCGUGAGCUGCGUUGAGCCUGGAAGUCCCUGCUGCGGAGUCGAGUUGUUUGGGAAUGCAGCUCUAAGCGGGUGGUAAAUUCCAUCUAAGGCUAAAUACCGGCGAGAGACCGAUAGCGAACAAGUACAGUGAUGGAAAGAUGAAAAGCACUUUGAAAAGAGAGUGAAACAGUACGUGAAAUUGUUGAAAGGGAAGGGUAUUUGGCCCGACAUGGGUCCUGCGCACCGUUGCCCCCUGUGGGCGGCGCUCUGCCGGGGCCUGGGCCAGCAUCAGUUUUCUGGCGGGGAGAAUGAGCUGCGAGCCACACUGUGGGGACCGGCGCGAUGCCCGCACGGGGGACUGAGGACUGCCGCAGUAGGAUGCUGGCACAACGGCCAAAUACCGC